This is a long non-coding RNA of Marmota monax (woodchuck), 1143 nucleotides long. RefSeq lists it as uncharacterized. The transcript is spliced from 3 exons. The record is from RefSeq and is a predicted model, not a curated record. Lineage: Eukaryota; Metazoa; Chordata; Mammalia; Rodentia; Sciuridae.
AAGUGGUAGCAGCAGCAGCCGGCGCGUGUGAUCCACUUACUUGUCCGACUCUUGUGACAUGUUUGAUCCAAUGAACUCGCUCCCCUUUUCCUGGAGCCUCAGCCUCUGGUGAAACUGGACUUUCAAGUCUGUGCAGGUGAAGGUGUGUGAGAGCGCCCGAGAUGGCAGAACAAGAGCUACAGGUAAUUCUGCUUUUCCGUCCCCCCUCACCACUCUCGCUCGCUCGCCCGCUCGCGCCCUCACCUAGCCGGAAAGGUGGGAUAAGGGGGGGCCCCUCACAUGGGGCCCGAGCUCGGAGGCGGCCGGGCGGCGCGGAGUCCUCCUGGAUCGUGGCAAUGGGCAGACACAGAGCAGAAAGUGGCGGACUUGGGCGGCCACAGUUCUUAACAGGGCAAGAAACAGAGGUUGAAGAUGGAGGCCAAAAUGUCACCUUUUCCAUUGAGAGAGGCACCACUGAGAAUGCAAUUUGAUGGAAGAGCAAGCCACUUGGAGCCUGCAGACUGAAUUCCAGGUUCCAACCCCACCCAUGCUCAGGCCUACAGACUAAACCCUCCAGCAGAUUUUGUUCAAGAGAAUGAAGUUGAAAGCAAGAAGCCAAACAAACAUACCCAGUUUAUCUUCCCAAAUUUUCAAAUCAGAGCCCUGGAGAUCUAAGAUGGACUGGAAUCAUAUCAUCAUAUCCCCAAGGAGGAACAUAAGAACAGCCAGAGGAGAGAUGCAAGACUGAAAUAUCAGAAGAUAGGCCACGGCUUACUCUUCCUUCUGGUUAUAAAAUGUCAUCAGGUUGAAAUUGUUUAGAGAUUCCCAAGUGCUUACUGAGGCCCCACGGUGGGGAGUGGGGGUCUGUCUGCCACAACUGCCCUGUCACUGUGAAUCAGGAGAGAGGAGCAGGAAGAUGCAGUGCCUGGUAAAACCUCUCUUCAGGAAAGAGGGAAUCAGAAAAUGAUGGGCCAAAAGAAGGGUAGAGAAGGAGGUUGUGUGGCACAGAGACCAACAGCAAGGAUUCUAGAGCCAGGUUUGAAAUAUGCCUCCACUGCUGUGUGCUGUGUGAUCUCAGAAAAGUUAUAUCCCCUCUUUGUGGCUUCAUUUCCCCAUCUACAUAAAAUAAAAUUAAUAAAGUUGACCUCAUUGGAUCCAAAAUAA